UGAGGAAUAUUGGUCAAUGGGCGAGAGCCUGAACCAGCCAAGUCGCGUGAAGGAAGACUGUCCUAUGGAUUGUAAACUUCUUUUGUAAGGGAAUAAAAAAGGCCACGUGUGGCUUCUUGUAUGUACUUUACGAAUAAGGAUCGGCUAACUCCGUGCCAGCAGCCGCGGUAAUACGGAGGAUCCGAGCGUUAUCCGGAUUUAUUGGGUUUAAAGGGUGCGUAGGCGGACCCGUAAGUCAGUGGUGAAAGUUUGCAGCUUAACUGUAAAAUUGCCAUUGAAACUAUGGGUCUUGAGUGUAAAUGAGGUAGGCGGAAUGUGUUGUGUAGCGGUGAAAUGCUUAGAUAUAACACAGAACACCAAUUGCGAAGGCAGCUUACUGGGAUACAACUGACGCUGAGGCACGAAAGCGUGGGGAUCAAACAGG
Molecule: ribosomal RNA, 424 nt
Filed under: uncultured prokaryote
Also listed under: 1 other name
Description: bacterial SSU rRNA
Rfam family: Bacterial small subunit ribosomal RNA
Source: RNAcentral